This 497-nucleotide ribosomal RNA is filed under the name uncultured bacterium. Its description in RNAcentral is "partial 16S ribosomal RNA". It matches the Rfam family "Bacterial small subunit ribosomal RNA", at positions 28 to 507 of the family's 1533-position model. The record is from RNAcentral.
GAUGAACGCUGGCGGCGUGCCUAAUACAUGCAAGUCGAGCGAACGGACGAGGAGCUUGCUCCUCUGAUGUUAGCGGCGGACGGGUGAGUAACACGUGGAUAACCUACCUAUAAGACUGGGAUAACUUCGGGAAACCGGAGCUAAUACCGGAUAAUAUUUUGAACCGCAUGGUUCAAAAGUGAAAGACGGUCUUGCUGUCACUUAUAGAUGGAUCCGCGCCGCAUUAGCUAGUUGGUAAGGUAACGGCUUACCAAGGCAACGAUGCAUAGCCGACCUGAGAGGGUGAUCGGCCACACUGGAACUGAGACACGGUCCAGACUCCUACGGGAGGCAGCAGUAGGGAAUCUUCCGCAAUGGGCGAAAGCCUGACGGAGCAACGCCGCGUGAGUGAUGAAGGUCUUCGGAUCGUAAAACUCUGUUAUUAGGGAAGAACAAAUGUGUAAGUAACUAUGCACGUCUUGACGGUACCUAAUCAGAAAGCCACGGCUAACUACGUG